CCGGACAUUGCAGAUGGAGAGAAGUUUCAACAGGCUUUGAAAAAUGCCAUGGCAAACAGUGUAAUAUUUUGUGGUGAUAAAACAAUAUUUCCUAGAUUUUAUUCACUCGGUCAAUAUAGUCGCACUGGCUGGCCAUUGCCAGCAAAGUUAUUUUCACAAUAUACAUGGCAUCAUUAUAGACAAUAUGAGAGGCCAUUAUGAGCAUACUUAAUUAGAAAUUCUUUUUUUUUAUUUAAUUUUUAGGAAAGGAAAAGAGAGCCAUCCGUCAAUUAACAUUAAUCUCUUCAAAACUUGAAAAAUGAGGCAACUUGGUGAGC
This 317-nucleotide long non-coding RNA is filed under the name Elaeis guineensis (African oil palm). RNAcentral's name for it is "long non-coding RNA (EGUI_LNC023119)". The record is from RNAcentral. Lineage: Eukaryota; Viridiplantae; Streptophyta; Magnoliopsida; Arecales; Arecaceae.